CCUACGGGUGGCAGCAGUAGGGAAUCUUCCACAAUGGGCGCAAGCCUGAUGGAGCAACACCGCGUGAGUGAAGAAGGGUUUCGGCUCGUAAAGCUCUGUUGUUGGAGAAGAACGUGCGUGAGAGUAACUGUUCACGCAGUGACGGUCUCCAACCCGAAAGUCACGGCUAACUACGUGCCAGCCGCCGCGGUAAUACGUAGGUGGCAAGCAUUAUCCGGGUUUAUUGGGGGUAAAGCGAGCUCAGGCGGUUGCUUAGGUCUUAUGUGAAAGCCUUCGUGUUAACCGAAGAAGUGCAUCGGAAACCGGGUGACUUGAGUGCAGAAGAGGACAGUGGAAUGUGAUGUGUAGCGGUGGAAUGCGUAGAUAUAUGGAAGAACACCAGUGGCGAAGGCGGCUGUCGGGUCUGCAACUGACGCUGAGGCUCGAAAGCAUGGGUAGCGAACAGGAUUAGAUACCCCUGUAGUC
This 465-nucleotide ribosomal RNA is filed under the name uncultured bacterium. RNAcentral describes it as "partial 16S ribosomal RNA". It matches the Rfam family "Bacterial small subunit ribosomal RNA", at positions 338 to 795 of the family's 1533-position model. The record is from RNAcentral.